UGAUGUAUAGCUCAAUGGUAUAGCAUUUGCCUGGUAUGCAUGAGGCCCUGGGUUCAAGCCCUAGCACCUCAA
RNAcentral lists this transfer RNA (72 nucleotides) under Ictidomys tridecemlineatus (thirteen-lined ground squirrel). RNAcentral's name for it is "Spermophilus tridecemlineatus (thirteen-lined ground squirrel) tRNA". It matches the Rfam family "tRNA". Rfam says of the family: Transfer RNA (tRNA) molecules are approximately 80 nucleotides in length. Their secondary structure includes four short double-helical elements and three loops (D, anti-codon, and T loops). The record is from Rfam by way of RNAcentral. Lineage: Eukaryota; Metazoa; Chordata; Mammalia; Rodentia; Sciuridae.